AGAGUUUGAUCAUGGCUCAGGACGAACGCUGGCGGCGUGCCUAACACAUGCAAGUCGAGCGAGAUCCAUCCAGUGGCAACACUGGUGAAGAUCUAGCGGCGAACGGGUGAGUAACACGUGAGAAACCUGCCCCGGAGACCGGGAUAACUCGAGGAAACUCGAGCUAAUACCGGAUACCCCCACCGAACCGCAUGAUUUGGUGAGGAAAUGCUCCGACGCUCCGGGAGGGUCUCGCGGCCUAUCAGCUGGUUGGUGAGGUAACGGCUCACCAAGGCUAAGACGGGUAGCUGGUCUGAGAGGACGAUCAGCCACACUGGGACUGAGACACGGCCCAGACUCCUACGGGAGGCAGCAGUGGGGAAUCUUGCGCAAUGGGCGAAAGCCUGACGCAGCAACGCCGCGUGGGGGAUGAAGGCUCUCGGGUUGUAAACCCCUUUCAGGAGGGACGAAAAUGACGGUACCUCCAGAAGAAGCCCCGGCCAACUACGUGCCAGCAGCCGCGGUA
Molecule: ribosomal RNA, 505 nt
Filed under: uncultured Actinomycetes bacterium
Lineage: Bacteria; Bacillati; Actinomycetota; Actinomycetes
Description: bacterial SSU rRNA
Rfam family: Bacterial small subunit ribosomal RNA
Source: RNAcentral